ACAGCCACACCCUCCCCUACAGAAGUGCUCACAGCACAGCCCUCAGCAUGGACUGGAACUGGAGAACCCUCCUCCUGGUGGCCAUGGUGACAGGUGUCCACUCCCAGGUGCAGCUGGUGCAGUCUGGGGCUGAGGUGAGGAAGCCUGGGGCCUCCAUGAAGGUCUCCUGCAAGGCUUCUGGAUACACCUUCACCAGCUACUACAUGCACUGGGUGGAACAGGCCCCAGGACAGGGGCUUAAAAGGAUGGGGAUAGUUUUCCCUUUACUUGGAAUCACAAACUACACACAGAAGUUCCAAGGCAGAGUCUCCAUAACCGAAGACACGUCCACAAGCACAGCCUGCAUGGAGCUCAGCAGCCUGAGAGCCAAGGAAACUUCCCUGUAUUACUGUGAAAGAGACACAGUGAGGGGAAUCCUGGGGGUGGGCACGCCCCAGGCCUAUGACUUCUUUACUAAAAGGCUCAUCUUUGCCUUAAGCACCCUGUCCAUUGUUCCUGUGCAUCUGGGUUAG
Molecule: non-coding RNA, 512 nt
Organism: Myotis davidii
Lineage: Eukaryota; Metazoa; Chordata; Mammalia; Chiroptera; Vespertilionidae
Source: the annotation of a RefSeq genome assembly